AACGAACGCUGGCGGCAUGCCUAACACAUGCAAGUCGAACGAGACCUUCUGGUAUAUUGGCGCACGGGUGCGUAACGCGCGGGAACCUGCCCUUUAGUUCGGAAUCUCCUUUUGAAAGGGGUGCUACUACCGGAAACUUUCUUCGGACCCACGUUUUAUCUCCCGUGGAUGGGCCCGCGUCGUCUUAGCUAGUUGGUCGGGUAAAGGCCUACCAAGGUGACGUGCCUUAGCUGGUCUGAGAGCAUGAUCACCCACACUGGUACGGAGACACGGCCCAGACGCCUAGGGGAGGAAGCAGUGGGGAAUAUUAGGCAAGGGGCGAAAGGCGGAUACAGCAAAACCGGGUGGGUGAUGAAGGAGUUCGGACGGGAAAGCCCUGAUGGUGGGAAAGAAAAAAAGCAGGUUAAUACGCCGCGGUACUGACGGUACCGGAAGAAUAAGCACCGGCUAACUUCGUG
This 458-nucleotide ribosomal RNA is filed under the name uncultured bacterium. Its description in RNAcentral is "partial 16S ribosomal RNA". It matches the Rfam family "Bacterial small subunit ribosomal RNA", at positions 29 to 507 of the family's 1533-position model. The record is from RNAcentral.